This 253-nucleotide ribosomal RNA is filed under the name uncultured bacterium. RNAcentral describes it as "partial 16S ribosomal RNA". It matches the Rfam family "Bacterial small subunit ribosomal RNA", at positions 524 to 776 of the family's 1533-position model. The record is from RNAcentral.
UACAGAGGGUGCGAGCGUUAAUCGGAAUUACUGGGCGUAAAGCGCACGUAGGUGGCGACGUAAGUCGGGUGUGAAAGCCCCGGGCUCAACCUGGGAAUUGCAUUCGAGACUGCAUUGCUGGAGUACGGAAGAGGAAGGCGGAAUUCCCGGUGUAGCGGUGAAAUGCGCAGAUAUCGGGAAGAACACCUAUGGCGAAGGCAGCUCUCUGGGACGGUACUGACGCUGAGACGCGAAAGCGUGGGGAGCGAACAGG